This 253-nucleotide ribosomal RNA is filed under the name uncultured bacterium. RNAcentral's name for it is "partial 16S ribosomal RNA". It matches the Rfam family "Bacterial small subunit ribosomal RNA", at positions 524 to 776 of the family's 1533-position model. The record is from RNAcentral.
UACGUAGGUGGCAAGCGUUAUCCGGAAUUAUUGGGCGUAAAGCGCGCGUAGGCGGUUUCUUAAGUCUGAUGUGAAAGCCCACGGCCCAACCGUGGAGGGUCAUUGGAAACUGGGAAACUUGAGUGCAGAAGAGGAAAGUGGAAUUCUAUGUGUAGCGGUGAAAUGCGCAGAGGUAUGGAGGAACACCAGUGGCGAAGGCGACCUUCUGGUCUGUAACUGGCGCUGAUGUGCGAAAGCGUGGGGAUCAAACAGG